AACGCGUAGAAAUCUGCCUGGUAGUGGGGGAUAGCCCAGAGAAAUUUGGAUUAAUACCGCAUACGCCCUACGGGGGAAAGCAGGGGACCUUCGGGCCUUGCGCUAUCAGAUGAGUCUGCGUCGGAUUAGCUUGUUGGUGAGGUAAUGGCUCACCAAGGCGACGAUCCGUAGCUGGUCUGAGAGGAUGAUCAGCCACACUGGGACUGAGACACGGCCCAG
RNAcentral lists this ribosomal RNA (219 nucleotides) under uncultured bacterium. RNAcentral's name for it is "partial 16S ribosomal RNA". It matches the Rfam family "Bacterial small subunit ribosomal RNA", at positions 112 to 334 of the family's 1533-position model. The record is from RNAcentral.